CAGUCGCCACGGUAAGACGGAGGGUGCUAGCGUUGUUCGGAAUCACUGGGCGUAAAGGGCGCGUAGGCGGCCUGUUAAGUCGGAUGUGAAAGCCCGGGGCUCAACCCCGGAACUGCAUCCGAGACUGGCAGGCUUGAGACCGGGAGAGGAGGGUGGAAUAUCCAGUGUAGAGGUGAAAUUCGUAGAUAUUGGAUGGAACACCGGUGGCGAAAGCGGCUCUCUGGCCCGGAUCUGACGCUGAGGCGCGAAAGCGUGGGGAGCAAACAGGAUUAGAUACCCCAGUAGUCCCUGUCUCUUAUAC
This 301-nucleotide ribosomal RNA is filed under the name uncultured bacterium. Its description in RNAcentral is "partial 16S ribosomal RNA". It matches the Rfam family "Bacterial small subunit ribosomal RNA", at positions 509 to 807 of the family's 1533-position model. The record is from RNAcentral.